ACGCUCGACACCUACGGGAGGCAGCAGUUGGGAAUAUUGGACAAUGGAGGAAACUCUGAUCCAGUGACGCCGCGUGAAGGAAGAAGGUCUUCGGAUUGUAAACUUAUUUUGUCAGGGAAGAAAAAAUGACUGUACCUGAAGAAAAAGCACCGGCUAACUACGUGCUAGCAGCCGCGGUAAUCUGAGCGGGCUGGCAAGGC
Molecule: ribosomal RNA, 200 nt
Filed under: uncultured bacterium
Lineage: Bacteria
Description: partial 16S ribosomal RNA
Rfam family: Bacterial small subunit ribosomal RNA
Source: RNAcentral